RNAcentral lists this ribosomal RNA (253 nucleotides) under uncultured bacterium. Its description in RNAcentral is "partial 16S ribosomal RNA". It matches the Rfam family "Bacterial small subunit ribosomal RNA", at positions 524 to 776 of the family's 1533-position model. The record is from RNAcentral.
UACGUAGGGGGCAAGCGUUAUCCGGAAUUACUGGGUGUAAAGGGAGCGUAGACGGUAAUGUAAGUCUGGAGUGAAAGGCGGGGGCCCAACCCCCGGACUGCUCUGGAAACUAUGUUACUAGAGUGCAGGAGAGGUAAGCGGAACUCCUAGUGUAGCGGUGAAAUGCGUAGAUAUUAGGAGGAACACCAGUGGCGAAGGCGGCUUACUGGACUGUAACUGACGUUGAGGCUCGAAAGCGUGGGGAGCAAACAGG